Carassius auratus (goldfish) is the source of this 778-nucleotide long non-coding RNA. RefSeq lists it as uncharacterized. The transcript is spliced from 3 exons. Lineage: Eukaryota; Metazoa; Chordata; Actinopteri; Cypriniformes; Cyprinidae. The record is from RefSeq and is a predicted model, not a curated record.
UUUAAUGUUUCCUGUAAACUGUUCUGAUGGGAUCUACUGUCUCAGCCUGGCCAUUUAAGUCAUUUAAAUGUUCACGACUGUCAAUUUAGUGGCUUUUAAUUUGUUGUGCAAUACAUUGCAUUCGUGCCUUAUUAUUUCUUUAAAGCGAUGGUGAUGUGUGCUAUUAUUUCAGAUUAUGACUGUUAGCUGACAAACAUAACAUGCUCUUGCUGUGUUGAUUUGUGCUACUGUCUCUAAAUGUUUCCAGCUCAAGCUUUUGUAGAUGUUGUUAUGUGUGCAUGUGUUUUUAAUCCUCUAAAGCAUUUGUAAGGAAAUACUUUGUAAACUGUCAACCAGUCUGUACAUCUCAUCUCUUUGUCCCACUACAGAACAGCUCACAUUUCAUGAGACAUGCAAAGAGAAAGAAGCUGAGUGUGGAAGACUUCAAUAGAGCACUAAGGUGGAGCAAUACUGAGACUGUUUGCGGCUAUGGUGCACAAGAUGCCUUACCAUUCCACGCAUUAAAGGAAGGAGAGCUUUUCUUUGUAGAAGAUCGGGAGAUAAAUCUGGUGGAGUUGGCGCUUGCUACUAAUAUUCCCAAAGGCUGUGCAGAGACGAUGGUUCGAGUGCAUGUGUCAUAUCUUGAUGGAAAAGGCAAUCUGGAAUUUCAAAGGACAAGUAAACCUCAUAUUUGAAUUGAUUUGUCAGGUGCAUCUGUAUGUUCCUAUUUUAUUUAAUAUACAUUUUAUUUAUAUGACCCAUAUGAACAAGAACAUUGUAAAACACAAAAUACAGUCAU